AAGCGAACAAAUAAAAAAUUUAAAUAAUAUGGUAAUUGUAUUUGCUGCUAAGCACUUGAAAGGUGCUAAACGUGUGCUUUUUCUGCUGCUCAAAUAAGAGCUCAAAAGGGUGAUUUAAAAAGCGCUUAAUAUGUGCUAGUUUUUGAGCACUGGUGAACCCUAGGACAUAUCAAUGUUAAUUGAACGCUUAGUAAUGAAUAUUUUGCAUUUAUUAUUGUUUGUGUUCUUGGCUAAUCUGAAUAGACAAUGUUUGGUCACUCCGCGGGACGAGGGAGUAUGAACGCUCGUCGCGGGCACGGGGACGCUGUGUCUGACAGCACGAUCGCGUCGCGGCACGGAUAACUACGGGUAGCACGGUGCCGGACCACAGGCGAUACAGGACUGUGCGGGGCGCUAAAAAGAUGCUUUGCCGUCGUUGCGUUCGGCUCUGCCUCCGUUAUGUUCGGCUCUGUCGGCGUCGCAGUCGUCUGCAUGAUGAUUUUGUGCCAGUGCUGAAUUGCUGCAGGGAAUGUAAAAUAUACACUUGAAUCUUAGGUCUACGAGGCUUACGGCAAGGUGAUCACCAGCCAGGCCAAUGAUGCCCAACCGGCCGGAGCCAAUGCCUUCGCCGAGAAGGCUGACGAGGGCACAGAGAUAACUUCACUUCCACCAGGAGAACGCUGGCAUCAAGGAGCUCUAGUGAAUUACCGGCGAGGAGUGAUGACAUCAGCAUUUCCGUGCUUAUGUUUAUCAAGCACUGGAGGAGGAAAAGUGCUAAAUGGCCUGUAAAAGCCCUCCAGGAACUGUACAUAAAUAAAUAAUAAA
Molecule: non-coding RNA, 804 nt
Organism: Drosophila suzukii
Lineage: Eukaryota; Metazoa; Arthropoda; Insecta; Diptera; Drosophilidae
Source: RefSeq, a predicted model, not a curated record